Molecule: ribosomal RNA, 1179 nt
Filed under: Triticum aestivum (bread wheat)
Lineage: Eukaryota; Viridiplantae; Streptophyta; Magnoliopsida; Poales; Poaceae
Description: partial small subunit ribosomal RNA
Source: RNAcentral
AUGUUCCGCCUCCCAAGAUCCACCCUUUCCGGCAUCCUCCUCUCUUCUUCCAUCUCCUCUCUCCACCGCUGCCUCCUCUCCGCCACCGUCGCCGGCUCCCGCAUCUCCCCAAGUCCUAGCUUCGCCGUGGAGGAGUACCUCGUGGACACCUGCGGCCUCACCCGACCCCAGGCCCUCAAGGCAUCCGCGAAGAUCUCCCACAUCAAGUCCCCCACCAAUCCCGACGCCGUGCUCGCUUUCCUCGCUGGCCUCGGCUUCUCCGGCGCCGAUGUCUCCGCCCUCAUCGCCAAGGACCCCAAGUUCCUCUGUGCCAGCGUCGGGCGAACCCUGUCGCCCAUUUUCGAGGAGCUCACCGGCCUCGGUCUUUCCCGUUCCGAGGUCGUCCGCCUCGUCUUGCUCACCGCCGGCGGCGGCCGUUUCCGUCGUACAUUUGUCGUCUCCAGGGUGCACUACUACCUGUCCCUCUUCGGCUCCUCCGAGAACCUCCUCCGCGCUCUCAAGGGCCGCUUUUGCUUUCUCGAUUCCGACCUCGAGAGGCGAGUGAAGCCCACUGUCACGCUCCUACAGGAGUGCCGGCUAGGUGCUUGCGAUAUUGCCAAGCUGUUAAUCGCUGUGCCCAGGAUGCUCACCACCAACACAGAGCACAUCCGGGUGAUGGUGGCAUGCGCCGAAGGCAUAGGUGUGCCCCGUGGCUCUGGGAUGUUCAGAGCAGCGCUGCAUGCUGUUGCAUUCCAAAGCGAGGAGGAGGUUGCUGCUAAAGUGGAGUACUUGAGGAACACGUUCAGUUGGUCACAUGCCGAGGUGGGCAUUGCUGUGUCCAAAUUCCCCCAUCUCCUGCGGUAUUCAAAGGACAGGCUGCAGUGCAUGUCCGAGUUCUUCAUCUCCGAGGCGGGGCUGGAACCGGCCUAUAUUGCUCAGCAGCCAGUAAUGCUCGGUUACAGUCUAGAGGGACGGCUCAGGCCCCGGUACUACGUUAUAAAGUUUCUCAAAGAAAAUGGAUUGCUCAAGCGCGUCCCGAAAUGCAGUACAAUUUUCCAUUAUGUCGAGAAGUUAUUCGUGGACAGGCACAUACACCCUCACAAAGAAGCUGCACCUCACCUUGCUGAAGACUAUGCUGCCGCCUGCAGAGGUGAAAUGCAGACUUGUUUCAGAUUUAUGAACCAAGAACGUAGUAUUUAA